Molecule: ribosomal RNA, 403 nt
Filed under: uncultured bacterium
Lineage: Bacteria
Description: partial 16S ribosomal RNA
Rfam family: Bacterial small subunit ribosomal RNA
Source: RNAcentral
GACGAACGCUGGCGGCGUGCCUAAUACAUGCAAGUCGAACGCAGUUGGGACGGGUGAGUAACAUGUGGGUAACCUCCCAUCAGAGGGGAUAACACUUGGAAACAGGUGCUAAACCGAUAUUGAUGGUUGGACCCGCGGUGCCUUAGCUAGUUGGUGAGGUAAAGGCGCACCAAGGCAACGAUGCAUAGCCGACCUGAGAGGGUGAUCGGCCACACUGGGACUGAGACACGGCGCAGACUCCUACGGGAGGCAGCAGUAGGUAAUCUUCGGCAAUGGACGAAAGUCUGACCAAGAAAGGCCGCGUGAGUGAAGAAGGUUUUCGGAUCGUAAAUCUCUUUAGUUUGGGAAGCGGUAUCAACACAAAAAGCCACGGCUAACUACGUGCCAGCAGCCGCGGGAAUAC